UCUGGUGGCGAUAGCGAAGAGGUCACACCCGUUCCCAUACCGAACACGGAAGUUAAGCUCUUUAGCGCCAAUGGUAGUUGGGAAUUUGUCCCUGUGAGAGUAGGACGUUGCCAGGC
RNAcentral lists this ribosomal RNA (116 nucleotides) under Priestia aryabhattai. The record is from RNAcentral. Lineage: Bacteria; Bacillati; Bacillota; Bacilli; Caryophanales; Bacillaceae.